AUUGAACGCUGGCGGCAUGCCUUACACAUGCAAGUCGAACGGCAGCACGGGAGCAAUCCUGGUGGCGAGUGGCGAACGGGUGAGUAAUAUAUCGGAACGUGCCCAGUCGUGGGGGAUAACGUAGCGAAAGCUACGCUAAUACCGCAUACGAUCUAUGGAUGAAAGCGGGGGAUCGCAAGACCUCGCGCGAUUGGAGCGGCCGAUAUCAGAUUAGCUAGUUGGUGGGGUAAAGGCCCACCAAGGCGACGAUCUGUAGCUGGUCUGAGAGGACGACCAGCCACACUGGAACUGAGACACGGUCCAGACUCCUACGGGAGGCAG
This 321-nucleotide ribosomal RNA is filed under the name uncultured Pseudomonadota bacterium. RNAcentral describes it as "bacterial SSU rRNA". It matches the Rfam family "Bacterial small subunit ribosomal RNA", at positions 30 to 351 of the family's 1533-position model. Lineage: Bacteria; Pseudomonadati; Pseudomonadota. The record is from RNAcentral.